Molecule: long non-coding RNA, 1296 nt
Filed under: Paramuricea clavata
Lineage: Eukaryota; Metazoa; Cnidaria; Anthozoa; Malacalcyonacea; Plexauridae
Source: RNAcentral
GUAUAUACAGGUGUAAAGGCAUGAAACAAUGUGCUUCUAUCUAUAUUCUUUGUGUUUAUAUAUACUAGAGUCUGUGGUUAUUAUAGUAUGAAUAUUCUAGGGUGCCAGUAGAAAGUAGCCUAGGGGUGCCAGAAGCUCAGGAUACUGUGGGCAACUUAUCUGGUAAUAUGAUUUCUACCUAGAUUUCUGACUAAUGACUUGAGCCACUAGAAAUAGGAUUGUACUUCUUGAAUGUUGGGUACCAAUCACAACUCACAAGUGUAGGUAUAAGCAAAGUGUCUAGAUUAUAGGCUUUAUAGGGUUGCACUGGAUCUUAUUAUACAGGCCAGAACUGAGAAAGUCACAUGCUAGUCAGACAUCAAGUCAGAAACAAUUUAAUUGGUAGAUAAUAUCACUUGCAGUCUAUGUAGGUGGAUUUAUUUGGGGUUUUGUUCAUUUCAGUCCUCUCUCUGUGCACCCCUGUAUCAGAUGCAACUACCUGAAACUAAGAAAUCAAUGAACUUCAACAUUUCAGGUGAAAGACCUAAUAUAGUAUUAUUUUUCAGGUAGUUGCAUGAUACAUUCAAGCCUUCAAAUAGUGUAAUGGCUUAAACUGCUUUUCUCAUUUCCUUUCUUCACUUUCUUACUCUUUUGUCUCUAAUGAAAACUUUAUUUUACAACAUUUUAAUUAUAUAAUUUCUUUUUGGUCUAAUUGCAGAAUUAAUUGAUGGUGAGAGACAGUUCACAGUUCAAACUCUUUAUUAAAGAAUAAUCAAUUAUCAAUUAUUAGAAAUAAUUAAUUUUGUUAGCAGUGAUAAAACUAUCCAGACAAGUUAUUAUUGUGACUUUGUAGCCAGAUGGGUAUGAUUUUGCAUUGGCUGUUCAGUAUUUUGAUCCAUUGUGAUAUGUCUUGUGGUAUCUGUGAAUGAUUUUACCUGCAAAAUGAAUGACAGAAUAUCAGAAUGUAACAUUACAUUAAGAUACAUCCUUACACUGCAAUAAAAUUAUGUAAUAGAUGUUCAGUGUGAAGAAUAUGGUCUUUGACACUCUUUGUAUAUAAUAAACAUGCUAUUAUGUAAUGGAAAUGAUCAAAUAAAGUUAUUUCUGCAACAGCCCUUGCAUUCAAACACCUUAUUUGUAUUUUUCUUGUUCAUGCUUGAGCAUCAGCCUCAGGAUAAGCAAAUUCCAUUGGAUUUGUGAGGGCACUUGAACUAUAUUGGGUCAUUAUACAUGAAUUACAGAAAAGAUUCAGACUCCCACAGCCUGUGCUACAAGUUACAGCUGUGACAGUGUAGAGGGGGGAUCCACAAGUAAAAU